UACGUAGGUGGCAAGCGUUGUCCGGAUUUAUUGGGUUUAAAGGGUGCGCAGGCGGCACGUUAAGUCAGUGGUGAAAUCCUCCCGCUCAACGGGAGAACUGCCAUUGAUACUGGCGUGCUUGAGUACGGACGAGGUAGGCGGAAUUUAUGGUGUAGCGGUGAAAUGCAUAGAUACCAUAAAGAACACCGAUAGCGAAGGCAGCUUACUAGACCGUAACUGACGCUCAUGCACGAAAGCGUGGGGAGCAAACAGG
RNAcentral lists this ribosomal RNA (253 nucleotides) under uncultured bacterium. Its description in RNAcentral is "partial 16S ribosomal RNA". It matches the Rfam family "Bacterial small subunit ribosomal RNA", at positions 524 to 776 of the family's 1533-position model. The record is from RNAcentral.